RNAcentral lists this ribosomal RNA (772 nucleotides) under Bacteroides sp. HGBC26. RNAcentral's name for it is "bacterial SSU rRNA". It matches the Rfam family "Bacterial small subunit ribosomal RNA", at positions 60 to 821 of the family's 1533-position model. Lineage: Bacteria; Pseudomonadati; Bacteroidota; Bacteroidia; Bacteroidales; Bacteroidaceae. The record is from RNAcentral.
AGUCGAGGGGCAGCAUGGUCUUAGCUUGCUAAGGCCGAUGGCGACCGGCGCACGGGUGAGUAACACGUAUCCAACCUGCCGUCUACUCUUGGACAGCCUUCUGAAAGGAAGAUUAAUACAAGAUGGCAUCAUGAGUCCGCAUGUUCACAUGAUUAAAGGUAUUCCGGUAGACGAUGGGGAUGCGUUCCAUUAGAUAGUAGGCGGGGUAACGGCCCACCUAGUCUUCGAUGGAUAGGGGUUCUGAGAGGAAGGUCCCCCACAUUGGAACUGAGACACGGUCCAAACUCCUACGGGAGGCAGCAGUGAGGAAUAUUGGUCAAUGGGCGAGAGCCUGAACCAGCCAAGUAGCGUGAAGGAUGACUGCCCUAUGGGUUGUAAACUUCUUUUAUAAAGGAAUAAAGUCGGGUAUGGAUACCCGUUUGCAUGUACUUUAUGAAUAAGGAUCGGCUAACUCCGUGCCAGCAGCCGCGGUAAUACGGAGGAUCCGAGCGUUAUCCGGAUUUAUUGGGUUUAAAGGGAGCGUAGAUGGAUGUUUAAGUCAGUUGUGAAAGUUUGCGGCUCAACCGUAAAAUUGCAGUUGAUACUGGAUAUCUUGAGUGCAGUUGAGGCAGGCGGAAUUCGUGGUGUAGCGGUGAAAUGCUUAGAUAUCACGAAGAACUCCGAUUGCGAAGGCAGCCUGCUAAGCUGCAACUGACAUUGAGGCUCGAAAGUGUGGGUAUCAAACAGGAUUAGAUACCCUGGUAGUCCACACGGUAAACGAUGAAUACUCGCU